CGCAAGCUGACGGAGCAACGCCGCGUGAGGGAUGGAGGCCUUUGGGCUGUAAACCUCUUUUCUCAAGGAAGAAGAUCUGACGGUACUUGAGGAAUAAGCCACGGCUAAUUCCGUGCCAGCAGCCGCGGUAAUACGGGAGUGGCAAGCGUUAUCCGGAAUUAUUGGGCGUAAAGCGUCCGCAGGCGGCCGUUUAAGUCUGUUGUUAAAUCGUGGAGCUCAACUCCAUCACGGCAAUGGAAACUGUUCGGCUUGAGUAUGGUAGGGGCAGAGGGAAUUUCCGGUGUAGCGGUGAAAUGCGUAGAUAUCGGGAAGAACACCAGUGGCAAAAGCGCUCUGCUGGGCCAUUACUGACGCUCAUGGACGAAAGCCAGGGGAGCG
Molecule: ribosomal RNA, 378 nt
Filed under: cyanobacterium symbiont of Xestospongia muta
Lineage: Bacteria; Bacillati; Cyanobacteriota; Cyanophyceae; Chroococcales
Description: bacterial SSU rRNA
Rfam family: Bacterial small subunit ribosomal RNA
Source: RNAcentral